CAUCUCGAGUGCUCAAUAUCCGUUUUUCGGUCUACAAUAUAUCUAGGGUGCACUUUGGAUAUGUCAGAUUCUCCGAACGUCAUAUUCAAGAUCUCAGUAGUACCCAAUGUGGUGGUGUGGGGUUGCAGAGCAUUAGAUUCAAUAAUUCCAGGGCCAGAAGCAGAAUUGAAUAAUGAUUCUAAGUUUUUCUCUCGUUGUUAUGAAUGGCGAUUAAACAUGGAAAUCGGGGAGGUUAAUGAGAAAUAUCUCAUUGAUGGACCAAAUCAGUUCAUGGAUUUUCCUGUACUCAAUGAAAGUUUUAUAGGAGUUAAGAAUAAAUACGCAUACACCCAAGUGGUGGAUCCCAAUGCAAGCUUUGUUGCAGAUAUGCCAAAAUAUGAGGUCUAGCUAAGUUAUACUUUGAAGAACAAUUAUCAUUUGAGGAAAAGAUCAUAAGAACGGAAUAUUAUGCAUUUGAAAGCAGCAAUGUAUUCUGCACUCGCCUCGCCUUUGUCCCUAAAGAAAAAGGGGGCAUUGAAAUGGAAGAAGAAGAUGGUUGGAUCAUUGCUUUUGUUCAUAAUGAAGACACUAACUUAUCACAAGUUCAUAUAAUUGAUGGAAAGAAGUUAAGUGGUGAGGCAGUUGCCAAGAUUACAUUGCCAUGCAGAGUUCCUUACGACUUUCAUGGAACUUUCAUGCCAAUCUCUUUUCAGCCCCCAACUCCCUCAUCAUAGCUCUAUUUAUGUUAUGUAUAUAUGUCAUUGCUAUUUAGCCAUCAUAUUAUACAUUUAAUAUAAUAAGGCCAACACAAUGCAAUGCUUGAA
Long non-coding RNA from Arachis duranensis, 803 nucleotides. RefSeq lists it as uncharacterized. The transcript has 5 exons. NCBI's taxonomy places the organism in Eukaryota, Viridiplantae, Streptophyta, Magnoliopsida, Fabales, Fabaceae. The record is from RefSeq and is a predicted model, not a curated record.